RNAcentral lists this ribosomal RNA (253 nucleotides) under uncultured bacterium. RNAcentral describes it as "partial 16S ribosomal RNA". It matches the Rfam family "Bacterial small subunit ribosomal RNA", at positions 524 to 776 of the family's 1533-position model. The record is from RNAcentral.
UACGUAGGGGGCAAGCGUUGUCCGGAUUUAUUGGGCGUAAAGAGCGUGUAGGCGGCCGUACAGGUCAGCUGUGAAAACUCGAGGCUCAACCUCGAGACGUCGGUUGAAACCGUACGGCUAGAGUCCGGAAGAGGAGAGUGGAAUUCCCGGUUUGGCUGUGAAAUGCGCAGAUAUCGGGAAGAACACCCGUGGCGAAGGCGGCUCUCUGGGACGGUACUGACGCUGAGACGCGAAAGCGUGGGGAGCAAACAGG